AUACGAAGGGUGCAAGCGUUAAUCGGAAUUACUGGGCGUAAAGCGCGCGUAGGUGGUUUUGUAAGUUGGAGGUGAAAGCCCCGGGCUCAACCUGGGAAUUGCCUCCAAAACUGCAUGACUAGAGUACGGUAGAGGGUAGUGGAAUUUCCUGUGUAGCGGUGAAAUGCGUAGAUAUAGGAAGGAACACCAGUGGCGAAGGCGACUCCCUGGACUGAUACUGCCACUGAGGUGCGAAAGCGUGGGGAGCAAACAGGAUUAGAUCCCCUGGUAGUCCACGCCGUAAACGAUGUCAACUAGCCGUUGGGAUCCUUGAGAUCUUAGUGGCGCAGCUAACGCAUUAAGUUGACCGCCUGGGGAGUACGGCCGCAAGGUUAAAACUCAAAUGAAUUGGCGGGG
This 396-nucleotide ribosomal RNA is filed under the name uncultured bacterium. RNAcentral describes it as "partial 16S ribosomal RNA". It matches the Rfam family "Bacterial small subunit ribosomal RNA", at positions 523 to 918 of the family's 1533-position model. The record is from RNAcentral.